UCCGGUUUGUCACCGGCAGUCCCUCUAGAGUGCCCAACUUAAUGAUGGCAACUAGAGGCGAGGGUUGCGCUCGUUGCGGGACUUAACCCAACAUCUCACGACACGAGCUGACGACAGCCAUGCACCACCUGUGACGGUGCCCCGAAGGGAAGCCGUGUUUCCACGGCGUUUCCCCCCUAUGCAGGUGCAUGUCAAGCCUGGGUAAGGUUCUUCGCGUUGCGUCGAAUUAAACCACAUGCUCCACCGCUUGUGCGGGCCCCCGUCAAUUCUUUUGAGUUUUAGCCUUGCGGCCGUACUCCCCAGGCGGGACACUUAACGCGUUAACUGCGGCACAGAGGGAUUCGACUCCCCCCACACCUAGUGUCCAUCGUUUACGGCUAGGACUAC
RNAcentral lists this unclassified non-coding RNA (387 nucleotides) under uncultured bacterium. RNAcentral describes it as "contains 16S-23S intergenic spacer region". The record is from RNAcentral.